This 424-nucleotide ribosomal RNA is filed under the name Cobetia marina. Its description in RNAcentral is "bacterial LSU rRNA". It matches the Rfam family "Bacterial large subunit ribosomal RNA", at positions 1 to 474 of the family's 2925-position model. The record is from RNAcentral. Lineage: Bacteria; Pseudomonadati; Pseudomonadota; Gammaproteobacteria; Oceanospirillales; Halomonadaceae.
GGUCAAGCGAUUAAGCGCAUACGGUGGAUGCCUUGGCAGCCAGAGGCGAUGAAGGACGUGAUAGCCUGCGAUAAGCGUUGGCGAGGUGGCAAAUACCCUGCGACCCAACGAUUUCCGAAUGGGGAAACCCACUCACCAUCAGGUGAGUAUCUAUAGGCCAAUACAUAACCUAUAGAGGCAAACCCGGGGAACUGAAACAUCUAAGUACCCGGAGGAAAAGAAAUCAACCGAGAUUCCCCAAGUAGCGGCGAGCGAACGGGGACCAGCCCUUAAGCGAUACAACUGACAGACGAACAAGCUGGGAAGCUUGACGAUACAGGGUGAUAGUCCCGUAGUCGAAGUCUGAGUAUCGUGAAAUCGAGUAGGUCGGGGCACGAGAAACCUUGACUGAACAUGGGGGGACCAUCCUCCAAGGCUAAAUACU